Molecule: RNA transcript, 3400 nt
Organism: Cucumis melo (muskmelon)
Lineage: Eukaryota; Viridiplantae; Streptophyta; Magnoliopsida; Cucurbitales; Cucurbitaceae
Gene name: T-complex protein 1 subunit eta-like
Exons: 3
Source: RefSeq, a predicted model, not a curated record
CCCUCAAUCUCUUCGCGUAAAAACCCUCCAUCAAACGCAAAAUUUCUCCUGUUCCCGUUUCCUCCCUCACGCAAAAUCACUACGGUUUCAGUUCAAACGCCGCUUCUACCGUUUGGGUUCGAACGCCGGCCGUCUCCUCCCGUUCCCGUCUCCUCUCUCGCGCAAAAUCCCUACCGUUUCAGUUCGAACGUCGCUGCUACCAUUUCUGUUCGAACGUCGCGCCUCCUCUCCCUCAACGCUGCUGCUACCCUUUCUAAGUCUUAGUUCAUCUCCCUUCUCUUUCAACCUGAGUUAGCAUCAACGAGAAGGGGUAUUUGUUUGUAUUAGCCCUUGUAAAUUGUAUCAUUUGUUCAUCGGGUCUUCUGAAUUUGUAUUUCGUUCACAAAGUUUUGCACACACCACAUCUUACUAAUCAAUGAGAAAGGCUUUUUCCUUUCAUCGAAAGAAGGGGACUGCGAUAAUUGGGAAAUUGGGCAAAUAAAUAUUGUAAAAAGAAUUCAUUGGUUUAUUUGUUGGUUAUCGUUAUUCAACCAUCAUGCUAACCAAGAUUACAACGCAACUAAAAUGUGGUAUUUUUCUAGAUUCUGAAUUUUAAUAGGGAGGAUUCAAUAUCCUCGUGAAGCUCUCUCUCAUGAGGGAACUUGGGGAGAAGGUUGGCAAUUUUUUUAUCAGAUUCUAAAUAUGAUUUAUGUUUGUAUACUAUGGCUGCUAACUUAGCUUCUGCAUUGGUACAAUGGUUUUUGAAUGCAAAGAUGUGAUUGGCACUGUAAUUCUCCUUCCCAAGUAGGUCCUUGAGUUCCUUUUCCUUCAAUGUCCAGCUACCAGUUCUCAAAUUGAAGGCUUACAAAGAAAGGAAUCUUCGUCCAUAAUCAGCUAUGAAUUCUAAAGCUUGUAAAAUGAAUUCGAACUCCUCAUUUGGCAUGUAGUAUGGGAAGCUUACUCUUGUCCAUCCAGGUUUUAUUCCCUUAUAGGCCUAUUAGAUUGUUAAAGAUAAAGUUCAAAGAUUAUGGAACGAAUCUCACUAUUUCAUGGUAUACAAAAUUGAAAAAUCAGACUAAUUAAUACCUUAGCAAUGGCAGUUCUGUAGGCUUGCGAGCAUGCUUCAUCAAUGUUGAGUAGCUUGUGACCAUAAGGUUUAGGGUUUUGAAGAGUUAGGAUUGGAUGGUGAUCCUAACUCUCAUGACUAGGAUUGUUUGGUAGUCAAUCGAGAAAGUAAAAGAGUUGGCAAUCAGUAUAGAGGGGAAGAGCUCGGAGGAAAAGAAAAGCUUGUUGGCUAAAUGUGCUGCAACAACACUUUCAUCUAAGCUCAUUGGCGGAGAGAAGGAUUUCUUUGCAUCAAUGGUUGUUGAUUACUCGCGUUUUCAUGGGACGAACACCGGAAGUCCUCGAGCUCGACCCAUUUCCUUCGCUGUAAGUGCAUUUACACUGGUUUUUGACACCGGACGAGCGUUCGCCACUCGUUGAAAACAGUGGCCAUCUUUUGGACCGUUGUGGGUCGCACCACAGUUCUCCCUCCAAUGAGGCUAAAUAUAAUUGACAUAAAGAAGGUUCCUGGAGGGACCAUGCGUGACUCCUUGGUAAAUGGUGUUGCCUUCAAGAAGACAUUUUCUCAUGCAGGUUUCGAACAACAACCUAAGAAGUUUUCAAAUCCAAAAAUUCUCUUGCUAAAUAUUGAAUUGGAAUUGAAAUCGGAGAAAGAAAAUGCAGAGAUACGGUAGGAUUCAGUUUACAGAACUCACCCCCCUUCUAUUACAACUGCACUAAACUUCCAGAAAUUUCUUUUGUAGGCUCUCUGAUCCGUCACAGUAUCAGUCCAUUGUUGAUGCAUAAUGGAAUAUUAUUUACGAAAAAUUAGACAAAUGUGUAGAGAGUGGAGCCAAGGUGGUUCUUUCACGUUUGGCUAUUAACGAUCUUGGCACAUAGGUUAUUUUGCAAAUGUGUAGAGAGUGGAGCCAAGGUGGUUCUUUCACGUUUGGCUAUUAACGAUCUUGGCACAUAGGUUAUUUUGGUCUGUUCUCACAAUGAUUGCAUCUUCAGUAUUUUUGGAAGUCGAUAGGAUUCUGACAAUGUAUAUUGAGAAGGAAGCAAUUUAUAUUGAAAUAUUAACAAAUAUGAUCACCACUCAAUGAGUAAAGUUGCCUCUAAAUCCAUAUAAACAGUCUGCUUACAGUAUUUUGCAGAUCGAGAUAUUUUAUUUGCUGGCCGUGUGGCUGAGGAAAAUCUACAAAGGGUUGCUGCUGCAACUGGUGGAACUAUGCAAACAUUUGUUAACAACGUUAUUCAUGAAUUAGAUUUUUUUUUCUGUUAAGUAAUUUUAUAUAACUGUUUAGGAACUUAUGUGCUUGGUUUUCCUUUGUCUUUCAUGAUGACCUUGUGACAUUAUUUACUUUGUUGGCUUAAAGGUUCUCGGGACAUGUGAGGCUUUUGAGGAAAAGCCAGUUGGUAAUGAAAGAUAUAAUAUAUUUAGUGGGUGUCCAUUAGGUAGAAUAGCCACCAUUAUAAUACUAUGGGAGGAAGCUUUGAGAAAAAGAGAAUGAAAAAUGAAUGGUAAGAUUUUAAACUCUGAUGAUGUAUAGCAUUGAAAUAAAUGAGUGAAACAUUUAUUUGACUGCUUUGUAUUAAAAAGAGCUUAAAAUUAGAAUCUUGCAACCGUGUCCUUUCUUUUUUCCUUCUUUAACAUCCUUUAUUGAGGAGGCGGUCCAGCAUGGUUAUGGAAAAGCAGGAUCGAUAUCACCGACAAAGAAAUCAAGGACGUCAGGUCGGACCUAUUAACGAGAAAAAGGACUUAAGGCAGGGAAUAUAACUGUACCAAGCUAAACUUGAUAGACAUCAAAUCUGGAAGAUAUUUUUAUCCUCAAUCUGAAGUGCUUUUGUUAGUAUUAUCUCAAAGUCUUAUGCUGAUAUUUGGGAUGAAAAAGCUUACAGGUUUUGAAUUUUAGACCAACUUGGAGAUUCCUUUUAGAUAGUAUAAUCUUUGGCCACCUUUUGUCAAAAAGUCUUCACUAGUACAUAGUAUGAUUGAUAUUGUUUCCUUCUCCUUUUACAAUAUCAUAGUAACUUGACAACGACCACCAUUUUUCAUGUUGGUUCCAAUACUCCUCAGCACACAUUGUUUCCUUCUGCAGUUGAUCUCUUGCUUCAUCUCUUUCGUCAUGUGCUGCCUGCAGUAGAAUAAGUUUUGCAAUAAUCCAUUGGAGCAGUGAAGCCAUAUUUGUGACAAUUCAUUGAUUUAAAGGCCUUUUUGUAGGUUUGGUAGCAAAAGUUUGGUUCAAAUGCACUUAUUUAAAUAGUUUGUUCGUACCAAAACAUACAUAUUCAUUCUUUAUUGUACAAACACUUUACGAACAAUUGUACAUAUAUUAUAUAGUAUAUAUUAAAGCGUUCAUCAUUUCUUUCCAUA